RNAcentral lists this long non-coding RNA (405 nucleotides) under Nicotiana benthamiana. RNAcentral's name for it is "long non-coding RNA (NBEN_LNC019844)". Lineage: Eukaryota; Viridiplantae; Streptophyta; Magnoliopsida; Solanales; Solanaceae. The record is from RNAcentral.
AGCAGGUGAAGGGGUGUAGCAAUUAACAGAACCUCCGUCAUAUAGCUGCGCCCUGGAGUUUUCUCUGCCAGCAGGUUUUCGAGGAUCAAAAGGUGUAUAUCAGCGACAGGGCAAGCAUCUUGGUCCUCCUUGGGAUCAGUUGAGGCAGCUCUAGCAGACCAAUCCCAUCCAUUCUUCAGAGCAGGAGGAACUGCAGCAGGUGAAGGGGUGUAGCAAUUAACAGAACCUCCGUCAUAUAGCUGCGCCCUGGAGUUUUCUCUGCCAGCAGGUUUUCGAGGAUCAAAAGGUGUAGACCAGUUAUUCCUAGAACCCCGUCCUGGUCCAACAUUGUUACGCAUGCCCAAUUUCUGAACGACAUCUGGAUGACCCCAAGCUUUGGUAUUCUGGUUUCCCCAAGUUUUCAGA